Molecule: ribosomal RNA, 387 nt
Filed under: uncultured bacterium
Lineage: Bacteria
Description: bacterial SSU rRNA
Rfam family: Bacterial small subunit ribosomal RNA
Source: RNAcentral
GACGAACGCUGGCGGCGUGCUUAACACAUGCAAGUCGAGCGGUAAGGCCCUUUUGGGGGUACACGAGCGGCGAACGGGUGAGUAACACGUGGGUGACCUGCCUUUAGCUUCGGGAUAAGCCUGGGAAACUGGGUCUAAUACUGGAUAUGACUCCACGGUGCAUGUCGUGGGGUGAAAGCCUUGUGCGGCUGAGGAUGGGCCCGCGGCCUAUCAGCUUGUUGGUGGGGUNAGGCCUACCAAGGCGACGACGGGUANCCGGCCUGAGAGGGCGACCGGCACACUGGGACUGAGACACGGCCCAGACUCCUACGGGAGGCAGCAGGUGGGGAAUCUUGCGCAAUGGGCGAAAGCCUGACGCAGCGACGCCGCGUGAGGGAUGACGGCCUU